This 765-nucleotide unclassified non-coding RNA is filed under the name Hevea brasiliensis (rubber tree). Lineage: Eukaryota; Viridiplantae; Streptophyta; Magnoliopsida; Malpighiales; Euphorbiaceae. The record is from RNAcentral.
AAGGAAGAAAAUCAGGGCCUUGCUGCAACUAUUCGUUUGCCCAAUGACUCUCCAAGAAGCUGGUUCCAGUGUUAUACUGCUGCAAACGAUGUUCACCAACAAAGUUCCAGCUGAGAUGCCAUUUGGGAAGUCAGAAUCUUCAUUCCUAAAGGCUUAGUUCUAGAUUUUCAACCUUCCUGGGGACAAGAAGGUUGUAAUGGAGGAGGUAUUGUUACAUAUGCAGGAGAAAGAAGAGAAAUAGUAAUAAGCAAUAGAAAAGUCGAGUAGGAAGUGUUUUGGAGGAAAAUGUUGUUAGUUUAGAAGAAAGUAUUUUAGAAUAACAAAAUUAGUUUGUAGCAGUUGCGCUACUCUUGUAUAAAAGGAGAAUCCUAAUCUGUAUUCAUUCAUGCUAUUCCAUGAAUGAAUAAACAAGAAUACUCUUUUCUCAUCUCUGAAUAUUUUCUCUCUCUUCUCAUCCAAUCUAUUUCUCUUCUCAUCUACCCUCUCUUCUCCUUUCUCAUCUACUUCUAUUCUUUUAUCAUCUAUUUCUAUUUGUUUCUCUCCUUAUCCAUCUGCUUCAGCAAGUGCACAGACUGAUAUAUAACAAGUUGUCAUCCAAACCUCUCUAACAUAAACAUUAUGGAAACUUGUUGCUUACCUCCUUAUAGUUUUAGUUCAAGUAUUGUUCUAGCACCUAUUGAGAAAUGGUUGCUUAGGCCUUUGGCGUUGAAUUUACCAACACUGACAUGAUAUCGUCAUCAUGUAUUUCAUAUUAAUUUAAAAAAA